Molecule: ribosomal RNA, 389 nt
Filed under: uncultured bacterium
Lineage: Bacteria
Description: bacterial SSU rRNA
Rfam family: Bacterial small subunit ribosomal RNA
Source: RNAcentral
GACGAACGCUGGCGGCGUGCUUAACACAUGCAAGUCGAGCGGUAAGGCCCUUUCGGGGGUACACGAGCGGCGAACGGGUGAGUAACACGUGGGUGACCUGCCCUCAGCUCUGGGAUAAGCCUGGGAAACCGGGUCUAAUACUGGAUAUGACUCCAUGACGCAUGUUGUGGGGUGGAAAGCCUUGUGCGGCUGAGGAUGGGCCCGCGGCCUAUCAGCUUGUUGGUGGGGUGANGGGCCUACCAAGGCGACGACGGGUAGCCGGCCUGAGAGGGCGACCGGCCACACUGGGACUGAGACACGGCCCAGACUCCUACGGGAGGCAGCAGUGGGGAAUCUUGCGCAACGGGCGAAAGCCUGACGCAGCGACGCCGCGUGAGGGAUGACGGCCU